UGGGGAAUAUUGCACAAUGGGGGAAACCCUGAUGCAGCGACGCCGCGUGAACGAAGAAGGUAUUCGUAUCGUAAAGUUCUGUCCUAUGGGAAGAUAAUGACAGUACCAUAGAAGAAAGCUCCGGCUAAAUACGUGCCAGCAGCCGCGGUAAUAAGUAUGGAGCGAGCGUUGUCCGGAAUUAUUGGGCGUAAAGGGUACGCAGGCGGUUUAAUAAGUCGAAUGUUAAAGAUCGGGGCUCAACCCCGCAAAGCAUUGGAAACUGAUAAACUUGAGUAGUGGAGAGGAAAGUGGAAUUACUAGUGUAGUGGUGAAAUACGUAGAUAUUAGGAGGAAUACCAGUAGCGAAGGCGACUUUCUGGACACAAACUGACGCUGAGGUACGAAAGCGUGGGGAGCAAACAGG
RNAcentral lists this ribosomal RNA (403 nucleotides) under Chloroflexota bacterium. RNAcentral's name for it is "Chloroflexi bacterium partial 16S ribosomal RNA". It matches the Rfam family "Bacterial small subunit ribosomal RNA", at positions 355 to 776 of the family's 1533-position model. Lineage: Bacteria; Bacillati; Chloroflexota. The record is from RNAcentral.